Dendroctonus ponderosae (mountain pine beetle) is the source of this 413-nucleotide long non-coding RNA. RefSeq lists it as uncharacterized. The transcript has 2 exons. The record is from RefSeq and is a predicted model, not a curated record. Lineage: Eukaryota; Metazoa; Arthropoda; Insecta; Coleoptera; Curculionidae.
GUUAGGUGGUUUCGUUUAUUGUCUGAUGAUAAGUAUUUUACAAUUUGUCGAGAUAAACAACCGCGAGUCCGCCAAUCAUUUUUUUUCAUUAUCUCGUGCAUUUUGAACCGUAUAUAAGCUCUAGAUAAAAAUGACAAACAAAUAGUAUCGUACAGAAAUUCAUAGGUAAAUUUUAUACGCUCUUGGCUAGUAAUUUUUAAGUUUUUAAGAGGAAUUGUUUGAAUUUGUUGGAACAAAAAUAAUAGCAUUGCCUUUAUAUUAGCACAAAGAAAGACAGUGAUAAUUAUGAAUAUUUCUUAAUUUAUAACAAUUUACAAUUUAUUUUUUCUGAUCAACUUAAAUAGGUAUUAGAUUUUGUAUUCGUAGCAUUUAAGUAAGCAAGUUAAACCAUUAAAUAAAUCUCCUAAAAAGUU